Molecule: ribosomal RNA, 452 nt
Filed under: uncultured Lactobacillales bacterium
Lineage: Bacteria; Bacillati; Bacillota; Bacilli; Lactobacillales
Description: bacterial SSU rRNA
Rfam family: Bacterial small subunit ribosomal RNA
Source: RNAcentral
GGGCCCGCACAAGCGGUGGAGCAUGUGGUUUAAUUCGAAGCAACGCGAAGAACCUUACCAGGUCUUGACAUCCUUUGACCACCCUAGAGAUAGGGCUUUCCCUUCGGGGACAAAGUGACAGGUGGUGCAUGGUUGUCGUCAGCUCGUGUCGUGAGAUGUUGGGUUAAGUCCCGCAACGAGCGCAACCCUUAUUGUUAGUUGCCAUCAUUUAGUUGGGCACUCUAGCGAGACUGCCGGUGAUAAACCGGAGGAAGGUGGGGAUGACGUCAAAUCAUCAUGCCCCUUAUGACCUGGGCUACACACGUGCUACAAUGGGAAGUACAACGAGUCGCAAAGUCGCGAGGCUAAGCUAAUCUCUUAAAGCUUCUCUCAGUUCGGAUUGUAGGCUGCAACUCGCCUACAUGAAGCCGGAAUCGCUAGUAAUCGCGGAUCAGCACGCCGCGGUGAAUACG